Long non-coding RNA from Lathyrus oleraceus (garden pea), 468 nucleotides. RefSeq lists it as uncharacterized. The record is from RefSeq and is a predicted model, not a curated record. Lineage: Eukaryota; Viridiplantae; Streptophyta; Magnoliopsida; Fabales; Fabaceae. The transcript has 4 exons.
ACCCUAAUUCCAUGCUAAAUCGUGAAUCCGUUUUUUCCCAAUUUCGUGAACCGAUUCGUGAAUCCCUAAUCCGUGAAUCCAUUGAAGAAUCCCUAAUUCAAAAUCCCUCGUUAAAGGGUUUCUGAAUCAUCAAAGGUUUUCCAGAACUAUCGGCUUUGUGGAUGCUGGAAUCAACUUUUCUUUGCAAGUUUUCAAGAAUGCUCAUCUUACUUAGUGGAGGCAGUAAGCAGUUGUUGAAUGCAAGUUAAUUUGGAACCGAAGCACUAUAUCAUCCGGGAUUUUGCAAAGACAACUCUUUCUCAAGAUGACUAAAAGAGGUGGAAAAGCUAAGGUAUUAGCACCAGGAAAACUUCAAGAAGAACGAAAUCGCAUAAUUAACAAGAAGCAUAUCGUUAGGAAACCUGCUCAAACAACAUUGUCUAUGCAGGAUGCAUCAUCGGCACCAACACCAGCUCAGGCAGCACCGUC